This 519-nucleotide ribosomal RNA is filed under the name uncultured bacterium. RNAcentral's name for it is "bacterial SSU rRNA". It matches the Rfam family "Bacterial small subunit ribosomal RNA", at positions 28 to 564 of the family's 1533-position model. The record is from RNAcentral.
AGUGAACGUUGGCGGCGUGGAUUAGGCAUGCAAGUCGAGCGUGUACCCGCAAGGGGAAAGCGGCAAACGGGGUAGGAACGCGUAGGUCACGUACCCCUCGGCCGGGGAUAGCCACGGGAAACUGUGGGUAAUACCCGAUGACGCCGAGAGGCCAAAGGUGUGAUUCCGCCGGGGGAGCGGCCUGCGUAGUAUUAGCUAGUUGGUGAGGUAACGGCUCACCAAGGCGAAGAUGCUUAGGGGGUNUGAGAGCAUGACCCCCACCACCGGGACUGAGAUACUGCCCAGACACCUACGGGUGGCUGCAGUCGAGAAUCUUCGGCAAUGGGGGCAACCCUGACCGAGCGACGCCGCGUGUGGGAUGAAGGCCCUUGGGUUGUAAACCACUGUCAGAGGGGAUGAAACGAUCAUGGGUUCUCCCAUGGUCCUGACAUAGCCUCAGAGGAAGCACGGGCUAAGUUCGUGCCAGCAGCCGCGGUAAUACGAACUGUGCAAACGUUAUUCGGAAUCACUGGGCUUAAA